RNAcentral lists this ribosomal RNA (439 nucleotides) under Streptomyces sp. R-46156. RNAcentral's name for it is "bacterial SSU rRNA". It matches the Rfam family "Bacterial small subunit ribosomal RNA", at positions 18 to 473 of the family's 1533-position model. Lineage: Bacteria; Bacillati; Actinomycetota; Actinomycetes; Kitasatosporales; Streptomycetaceae. The record is from RNAcentral.
CCUGGCUCAGGACGAACGCUGGCGGCGUGCUUAACACAUGCAAGUCGAACGAUGAACCACUUCGGUGGGGAUUAGUGGCGAACGGGUGAGUAACACGUGGGCAAUCUGCCCUUCACUCUGGGACAAGCCCUGGAAACGGGGUCUAAUACCGGAUACAACACUCUCGGGCAUCCGAUGAGUGUGGAAAGCUCCGGCGGUGAAGGAUGAGCCCGCGGCCUAUCAGCUUGUUGGUGAGGUAACGGCUCACCAAGGCGACGACGGGUAGCCGGCCUGAGAGGGCGACCGGCCACACUGGGACUGAGACACGGCCCAGACUCCUACGGGAGGCAGCAGUGGGGAAUAUUGCACAAUGGGCGAAAGCCUGAUGCAGCGACGCCGCGUGAGGGAUGACGGCCUUCGGGUUGUAAACCUCUUUCAGCAGGGAAGAAGCGAAAGUGAC